RNAcentral lists this ribosomal RNA (535 nucleotides) under uncultured bacterium. Its description in RNAcentral is "bacterial SSU rRNA". It matches the Rfam family "Bacterial small subunit ribosomal RNA", at positions 338 to 862 of the family's 1533-position model. The record is from RNAcentral.
CCUACGGGAGGCAGCAGUGAGGAAUAUUGGACAAUGGUCGAAAGACUGAUCCAGCCAUGCCGCGUGCAGGAAGACGGCCCUAUGGGUUGUAAACUGCUUUUGUUUGGGAAGAAACCUUUCUACGUGUAGAAAGCUGACGGUACCAUACGAAUAAGCACCGGCUAACUCCGUGCCAGCAGCCGCGGUAAUACGGAGGGUGCAAGCGUUAUCCGGAUUUAUUGGGUUUAAAGGGUCCGUAGGCGGACUUAUAAGUCAGUGGUGAAAUCCUGCAGCUCAACUGUAGAACUGCCAUUGAUACUGUAAGUCUUGAAUUCGGUUGAAGUGGGCGGAAUAUGGCAUGUAGCGGUGAAAUGCUUAGAUAUGCCAUAGAACACCGAUUGCGUAGGCAGCUCACUAAGCCUGGAUUGACGCUGAGGGACGAAAGCGUGGGUAGCGAAACAGGAUUAGAUACCCGUGGUAGUCCGACGACCGUAAACGAACUAGAUUACUACGACAUUAGUCGAUACUACGGUUAGGUUGUCUAUAAGACGAAGAC